RNAcentral lists this ribosomal RNA (467 nucleotides) under uncultured bacterium. RNAcentral's name for it is "partial 16S ribosomal RNA". It matches the Rfam family "Bacterial small subunit ribosomal RNA", at positions 28 to 507 of the family's 1533-position model. The record is from RNAcentral.
GAUGAACGCUGGCGGCGUGCUUAACACAUGCAAGUCGAACGGAAAGGCCCAAGCUUGCUUGGGUACUCGAGUGGCGAACGGGUGAGUAACACGUGGGUGAUCUGCCCUGCACUUCGGGAUAAGCCUGGGAAACUGGGUCUAAUACCGGAUAGGACCGCUUCUUGGAUGUUGUGGUGGAAAGUUUUGUCGGUGUGGGAUGAGCUCGCGGCCUAUCAGCUUGUUGGUGGGGUAAUGGCCUACCAAGGCGUCGACGGGUAGCCGGCCUGAGAGGGUGUACGGCCACACUGGGACUGAGGUACGGCCCCGACUCCUACGGGAGGCAGCAGUGGGGAAUCUUGCACAAUGGGCGCAAGCCUGAUGCAGCGAGGCCGCGUGGGGGAUGACGGCCUUCGGGUUGUAAAAUCCUUGCGCUAGGGACGAAGCGUUUUGUGACGGUACCUGGAGAAGAAGCACCGGCUAACUACGUG